GACGAACGCUGGCGGCGUGCUUAACACAUGCAAGUCGAACGGAAAGGCCCAGCUUGCUGGAUACUCGAGUGGCGAACGGGUGAGUAACACGUGGGUGAUCUGCCCUGCACUCUGGGAUAAGCCUGGGAAACUGGGUCUAAUACCGGAUAUGACCAACUGUCGCAUGGUGGUUGGUGGAAAGCUUUUGCGGUGUGGGAUGGGCCCGCGGCCUAUCAGCUUGUUGGUGGGGUAAUGGCCUACCAAGGCGACGACGGGUAGCCGACCUGAGAGGGUGAUCGGCCACACUGGGACUGAGACACGGCCCAGACUCCUACGGGAGGCAGCAGUGGGGAAUAUUGCACAAUGGGCGCAAGCCUGAUGCAGCGACGCCGCGUGAGGGAUGACGGCCUUCGGGUUGUAAACCUCUUUCACCAGGGACGAAGCGUGAGUGACGGUACCUGGAGAAGAAGCACCGGCCAACUACGUG
Molecule: ribosomal RNA, 466 nt
Filed under: uncultured bacterium
Lineage: Bacteria
Description: partial 16S ribosomal RNA
Rfam family: Bacterial small subunit ribosomal RNA
Source: RNAcentral